UACGGCUAUAUCACCUUAAACACAGGUUCCCGUACGAAAACCGAAGUUAAGCAACGUCGAGUCUGGUCAGUACCUAAUUGGAGGACCGCUUGAGAAUACCAGGUGCUGUAAG
Molecule: non-coding RNA, 112 nt
Organism: Acanthosepion pharaonis
Lineage: Eukaryota; Metazoa; Mollusca; Cephalopoda; Sepiida; Sepiidae
Source: the annotation of a GenBank genome assembly